Molecule: ribosomal RNA, 1000 nt
Filed under: Morganella morganii
Lineage: Bacteria; Pseudomonadati; Pseudomonadota; Gammaproteobacteria; Enterobacterales; Morganellaceae
Description: partial 16S ribosomal RNA
Source: RNAcentral
GGGGGGGCCCACAUAGCAACGUCCUCAUCCAUGUCAUGACUCAAAACUGGCAGGCGCCCUGCCUGAAGGUUCAGCUACCCACCUACUUCUCGUUCCCACCCUCCAUGGGGUGGCUGAUCGGGGUGUACUAGGCCUGUGUCAACACUGGCCAUCGCCAUCCUCCGAUCUAUGAUUGCUCACAGCUUCCGACCUCAAGGACUCCGGGUUGUGACUCUACUCCGACCUACGACAUACUUUACGAAUUCAGCUUGCCUGUCCACGGUCGCGUUCCCUUUGAAUACGCCAUUGUAGCAGGCGUGUAGCCCUUCUCCUAAGGGCCAGUGAUGACGUGUGAUCAUGCCGACCUUCCUCCGGACUUAUCAACAGGCAGUCUCCCUUUAUUUACCUCCCUGACGCGCUGGAUGCGAAGGAUAACUGGUUGCACUCGCUUUGGGACUUAUGCGUACCUUUCACUAUACGCAGCUGACGACAGCCGUGCAACACCUGUCUCAGUACUUCCCGAGUGCAGCACAGCUUCUCUGCUAAUUUCUCUGGCUGCCGAGAAUACGUAAGGUUCUGCGCGUUGCUUCGAAGUGAACCAGAUGCUCGACCGCUUGUGCGGGCCCGCGGCUGUUAUUUUGAGUUUGGACCUUGCCGCCGUACUCCCCAGGCGGUCCACUUAACGCGUUAGCUCCGGAAGCCACGCCUCAUGGUCACUACCUCCCAGUCGACAUCAUCUACCGCGUGUACGACCACGGCAUCUACUCCUGUUUGCUGAACACGCUUUCGCACCUCAGCGUCACUCUCUGUCCAAGUGGCCGCCUUCGCCACCGCUAUUCCUCCACAUCUCUACGCAUUUCACCGCUGCACAUGUAAUUCUACCCCCCUCUACUAGACUCUAGCUGACCCGUAUCAGAUGCAAUUCCCGGGUUAAGCCCCGUUAUUUCACAUCUGACUCAAUCAACCGCCUGCGUGCGCUUUACGCCCACUAUAUCCGAUUAACGCUUGCACCCCUCCGUAU